This 497-nucleotide ribosomal RNA is filed under the name uncultured bacterium. RNAcentral describes it as "partial 16S ribosomal RNA". It matches the Rfam family "Bacterial small subunit ribosomal RNA", at positions 28 to 507 of the family's 1533-position model. The record is from RNAcentral.
GACGAACGCUGGCGGCGUGCCUAAUACAUGCAAGUUGAGCGAUGAAGCUUGGUGCUUGCACCAAUUUGAAGAGCAGCGCACGGGUGAGUAACGCGUGGGGAAUCUGCCUUUGAGCGGGGGACAACAUUUGGAAACGAAUGCUAAUCCCGCAUAAUAACUUUAAACAUAAGUUUUAAGUUUGAAAAUUGAAAUUGAUUAAUUAAAAGUUGUCCCGGCGUUGUUUUAGCAAGUUGGUGAGGUAAAGCCUCACUAAGGCGUUGAUACAUAGCCGACCUGAGAGGGUGAUCGGCCACAUUGGGACUGAGACACGGCCCAAACUCCUACGGGAGGCAGCAGUAGGGAAUCUUCGGCAAUGGACGAAAGUCUGACCGAGCAACGCCGCGUGAGUGAAGAAGGUUUUCGGAUCGUAAAACUCUGUUGGUAGAGAAGAACGUUGGUGAGAGUGGAAAGCUCAUCAAGUGACGGUAACUACCCAGAAAGGGACGGCUAACUACGUG